RNAcentral lists this long non-coding RNA (435 nucleotides) under Elaeis guineensis (African oil palm). Its description in RNAcentral is "long non-coding RNA (EGUI_LNC068559)". The record is from RNAcentral. Lineage: Eukaryota; Viridiplantae; Streptophyta; Magnoliopsida; Arecales; Arecaceae.
CUGGAUUGAGAAGAGGCUGUCAGAGUUUUUUAAUUGUGAUCGAUUAUUAUCAAAGUGAGUGACAAAGUACUUCCUGAGUUGCUCAAAUGAAUGAAUAGAUUUUGAUUACAAAUCAGAGUACCAUACUCACUCCAACUUCUUAAGCAUGGUCAAGAUAGCUAGGUAGAAGAGGGUAUCUGAAGCCCCUUAGAGCAUCAUAAGGAUCUUGUAGUCCUCCAAGUGGUUGAGUAGACCUGAGGAGCCAUCAUAUGGCUCCAUUUAUAGCAUCUUGAAUUGGCUCAUGAAUGGUUCUUCUAGUAUCUUUGGGGAUAAUGAGGGAUGCGAGUUGACAUUGAGGCAAUCAUCCUGUUAGAAAAUCGGAAAGGCAGCAUAUGUAGAUUUCAAAACUUUGAAAACAGGCAACAAAAAAUAAAAUGAAUUAAAUCCUUUAACUCC